CUUUGUGGCCAUAACACCUUGAGAAUCCCUGAUCUUGUCUGAUCUCUGAAGCUAAGCAGGGCUAGGCCCAGUCAGUAGUUGGAAGGGGCACUGCUGGGAAUAACAGGUUCCAUAGUGC
This 118-nucleotide ribosomal RNA is filed under the name Periophthalmus magnuspinnatus. The record is from RNAcentral. Lineage: Eukaryota; Metazoa; Chordata; Actinopteri; Gobiiformes; Gobiidae.